RNAcentral lists this ribosomal RNA (465 nucleotides) under uncultured bacterium. Its description in RNAcentral is "partial 16S ribosomal RNA". It matches the Rfam family "Bacterial small subunit ribosomal RNA", at positions 338 to 795 of the family's 1533-position model. The record is from RNAcentral.
CCUACGGGGUGCAGCAGUAGGGAAUAUUGCUCAAUGGGGGAAACCCUGAAGCAGCAACGCCGCGUGGAGGAUGAAGGUUUUCGGAUCGUAAACCUCUGUCAGCAGGGAAGAACGGUCACUGUGCUAAUCAGCAGUGAAUUGACGGUACCUGCAAAGGAAGCACCGGCUAACUCCGUGCCAGCAGCCGCGGUAAUACGGAGGGUGCGAGCGUUAAUCGGAAUUACUGGGCGUAAAGCGCUCGUAGGCGGUAUGUCAAGUCAAGGGUGAAAUCCCCGCGCUCAACGUGGGAACUGCCUUUGAAACUGGCAAACUGGAGUGUGUGAGAGGAUAGUGGAAUUCCAGGUGUAGGAGUGAAAUCCGUAGAUAUCUGGAGGAACAUCAGUGGCGAAGGCGACUAUCUGGCACAUAACUGACGCUGAGGAGCGAAAGCGUGGGUAGCAAACAGGAUUAGAUACCCCUGUAGUC